This 497-nucleotide ribosomal RNA is filed under the name uncultured bacterium. Its description in RNAcentral is "partial 16S ribosomal RNA". It matches the Rfam family "Bacterial small subunit ribosomal RNA", at positions 28 to 507 of the family's 1533-position model. The record is from RNAcentral.
GAUGAACGCUGGCGGCGUGCCUAAUACAUGCAAGUCGAGCGAACAGACGAGGAGCUUGCUCCUCUGACGUUAGCGGCGGACGGGUGAGUAACACGUGGAUAACCUACCUAUAAGACUGGGAUAACUUCGGGAAACCGGAGCUAAUACCGGAUAACAUGUUGAACCGCAUGGUUCAACAGUGAAAGACGGUCUUGCUGUCACUUAUAGAUGGAUCCGCGCCGCAUUAGCUAGUUGGUAAGGUAACGGCUUACCAAGGCAACGAUGCGUAGCCGACCUGAGAGGGUGAUCGGCCACACUGGAACUGAGACACGGUCCAGACUCCUACGGGAGGCAGCAGUAGGGAAUCUUCCGCAAUGGGCGAAAGCCUGACGGAGCAACGCCGCGUGAGUGAAGAAGGUCUUCGGAUCGUAAAACUCUGUUAUUAGGGAAGAACAAAUGUGUAAGUAACUAUACACGUCUUGACGGUACCUAAUCAGAAAGCCACGGCUAACUACGUG